This 72-nucleotide transfer RNA is filed under the name Heterocephalus glaber (naked mole-rat). It matches the Rfam family "tRNA". From Rfam's summary of the family: Transfer RNA (tRNA) molecules are approximately 80 nucleotides in length. Lineage: Eukaryota; Metazoa; Chordata; Mammalia; Rodentia; Bathyergidae. The record is from Rfam by way of RNAcentral.
GACGGUGUAGCUCAAUGGUAGAGCCCUUGACUAGCAUACAGGAAGCCUUGGGUUCAAUUCCUAGUGCCUUAA